CUUCCAUGAAGAUAACUUUGUCCAGUUCUGCUAGUGAAUGUAAGUGGUGAUAAUGAAGACUCUGAGAAAG
Molecule: small nucleolar RNA, 70 nt
Organism: Sphaeramia orbicularis (orbiculate cardinalfish)
Lineage: Eukaryota; Metazoa; Chordata; Actinopteri; Kurtiformes; Apogonidae
Source: Ensembl